RNAcentral lists this ribosomal RNA (1095 nucleotides) under uncultured Gammaproteobacteria bacterium. RNAcentral describes it as "bacterial SSU rRNA". It matches the Rfam family "Bacterial small subunit ribosomal RNA", at positions 9 to 1101 of the family's 1533-position model. Lineage: Bacteria; Pseudomonadati; Pseudomonadota; Gammaproteobacteria. The record is from RNAcentral.
GAGUUUGAUCCUGGCUCAGAUUGAACGCUGGCGGCAGGCCUAACACAUGCAAGUCGAACGGUAAUAUUUCUAGCUUGCUGGAAGAUGACGAGUGGCGGACGGGUGAGUAAUGCUUGGGAACUUGCCUUUGCGAGGGGGAUAACAGUUGGAAACGACUGCUAAUACCGCAUAAUGUCUACGGACCAAACGGGGCUUAGGCUCCGGCGCAAAGAGAGGCCCAAGUGAGAUUAGCUAGUUGGUAAGGUAAUGGCUUACCAAGGCAACGAUCUCUAGCUGUUCUGAGAGGAAGAUCAGCCACACUGGAACUGAGACACGGUCCAGACUCCUACGGGAGGCAGCAGUGGGGAAUAUUGCACAAUGGGGGAAACCCUGAUGCAGCCAUGCCGCGUGUGUGAAGAAGGCCUUCGGGUUGUAAAGCACUUUCAGUUGUGAGGAAAAGUUAGUAGUUAAUACCUGCUAGCCGUGACGUUAACAACAGAAGAAGCACCGGCUAACUCCGUGCCAGCAGCCGCGGUAAUACGGAGGGUGCGAGCGUUAAUCGGAAUUACUGGGCGUAAAGCGCACGCAGGCGGUUUGUUAAGCUAGAUGUGAAAGCCCCGGGCUCAACCUGGGAUAGUCAUUUAGAACUGGCAGACUAGAGUCUUGGAGAGGGGAGUGGAAUUCCAGGUGUAGCGGUGAAAUGCGUAGAUAUCUGGAGGAACAUCAGUGGCGAAGGCGACUCCCUGGCCAAAGACUGACGCUCAUGUGCGAAAGUGUGGGUAGCGAACAGGAUUAGAUACCCUGGUAGUCCACACCGUAAACGCUGUCUACUAGCUGUUUGUGACUUUAAGUCGUGAGUAGCGAAGCUAACGCGCUAAGUAGACCGCCUGGGGAGUACGGCCGCAAGGUUAAAACUCAAAUGAAUUGACGGGGGCCCGCACAAGCGGUGGAGCAUGUGGUUUAAUUCGAUGCAACGCGAAGAACCUUACCUACACUUGACAUGCUGAGAACUUUCCAGAGAUGGAUUGGUGCCUUCGGGAGCUCAGACACAGGUGCUGCAUGGCUGUCGUCAGCUCGUGUCGUGAGAUGUUGGGUUAAGUCCCGCAACGAGCGCAA